RNAcentral lists this ribosomal RNA (504 nucleotides) under uncultured bacterium. RNAcentral describes it as "partial 16S ribosomal RNA". It matches the Rfam family "Bacterial small subunit ribosomal RNA", at positions 28 to 523 of the family's 1533-position model. The record is from RNAcentral.
GAUGAACGCUGGCGGCAGGCCUAACACAUGCAAGUCGAACGGUAGCACAGAGAGCUUGCUCUCGGGUGACGAGUGGCGGACGGGUGAGUAACGUCUGGGAAACUGCCCGAUGGAGGGGGAUAACUACUGGAAACGGUAGCUAAUACCGCAUAACGUCGCAAGACCAAAGUGGGGGACCUUCGGGCCUCACACCAUCGGAUGUGCCCAGAUGGGAUUAGCUAGUAGGUGGGGUAAUGGCUCACCUAGGCGACGAUCCCUAGCUGGUCUGAGAGGAUGACCAGCCACACUGGAACUGAGACACGGUCCAGACUCCUACGGGAGGCAGCAGUGGGGAAUAUUGCACAAUGGGCGCAAGCCUGAUGCAGCCAUGCCGCGUGUAUGAAGAAGGCCUUCGGGUUGUAAAGUACUUUCAGCGGGGAGGAAGGCGGUGAAGUUAAUAGCUUCACCGAUUGACGUUACCCGCAGAAGAAGCACCGGCUAACUCCGUGCCAGCCGCCGCCGUAA